Molecule: small RNA, 289 nt
Filed under: Sulfitobacter undariae
Lineage: Bacteria; Pseudomonadati; Pseudomonadota; Alphaproteobacteria; Rhodobacterales; Roseobacteraceae
Description: 5' ureB small RNA
Rfam family: 5' ureB small RNA
Source: Rfam by way of RNAcentral
AAUCCUCCAUCUGCUGGGGACAAAUAAAGUGGAUAUGACUGUCCAUACCUCCAGCAGUAAGGAUGCGCCCUUCACCCGCGAUUACUUCGGUGCCAGGGCCAACGAUGAUAUCGACGCCUGAUUGCGUGUCGGGGUUGCCUGCCUUGCCAAUGGCAUGGAUCAAUCCAUCUUUGAGCGCCACAUCCGCUUUGUAGAUGCCAGAGUGAUCAACGAUCAGCGCAUUGGUGAUUACGGUAUCUACCGCGCCUCCAGCACGGGUGACUUGCGAUUGCCCCAUCCCGUCACGGAU